ACCCACGACUACGACGUGAAAAUGCGUAACGUCGUCAAGUUCCUGGAGAACGGGGACAAGGUGAAGGUCACGCUUCGAUUCCGCGGCCGCGAGAUGGCGCACCAGAAUCUGGGGCGCGAAUUGCUGGAGCGGGUGGCCGAAGACACCAAGGAUAUCGGCAAGGUCGAGAACUUCCCCAAGAUGGAAGGCCGACAGAUGGUGAUGAUGAUCGGCCCCUCGCAGCGCUGAUCCCCAUCUUCCAUCCGCGAAAUAGCCCCGGCCCUGCGCCGGGGC
RNAcentral lists this unclassified non-coding RNA (273 nucleotides) under Jannaschia seohaensis. Its description in RNAcentral is "Long range pseudoknot". The record is from RNAcentral. Lineage: Bacteria; Pseudomonadati; Pseudomonadota; Alphaproteobacteria; Rhodobacterales; Roseobacteraceae.